GAUGGAGAAUAACCCGUGGCUGGAGGAACAUUGAAAAAUGGAUAAGAUAAUACAACAAAAGGAUGAUCAAAUUAUGAAGCUGCAGGCCCAGUUAUUGGAACAACACAAAAUAUUAGAUAACAACAAAGCUAAGGAUCGUAGGCCUAAUACGUAAUGAUUCUAUUUAUUUGCUUUUAUUUAUUCGUGUUUUGUAGCUCAAAUUUUGAGUCUACAAGCUCAGCUAGAGGAAAAGAACAAAUUGGAACGGAACAGUUUCCAAACAGUGAAGGAGGUUUUUCAAAACUCAUCCCUAACUGAACGUGAGGAUGAGUUGGCAUUAGGCGAACACAGAUAGUUUAUUCAGCCCACCACCUGACAGUGUGUUAAAGUUAAAUUCUGUUAGUGCUGCACUAAAAGAAUUGUUAGUAAUAAGUCCAUGCAGCGAAGGAAGUGAAGAAUUGUGGGACCGUAUUUGGGCUGAAAACGGAAACCCAGAAAUAGCACGAGUUCAACAUAAAACAUGAAUUAGAAUUUUAAUGGGGGAUCAAGUCAAGUCUGGAAGUGUUACAGGAUGGAAGAGUGAGCCUACAGUUGAAAAACACUGAAAGUGCAUUACCAUUAAGGUAUGAGGUAAAGUAAUAGAGUAUGCAAAUUGUCUAAUGAGAAGUACCAUCUUAUGUGAAUGAAUCCUGUGUAACAGCAAUCCUUUAUAGUUCUGUCACAGCUAGAAGCCUCAAAUAAUUCUGCUUCUCUUGCUAAAGAACAAGAUGUCCUUUACUUUCAGAGUGUUGGUGAAGCUGGGUACUUAAAUUGCCCUAAAGAUGUUUCAUUUCUUUGGCAUUGCAGCGAUGAACAUCAUACAUGGACUUUUUAGGAAAAUUUUCAGCAUACUGGGAACACAACUAUCAACAAUGCAACAUCCUAGGGGUGCUAUUUUAUCAUUCAAGAGCCUUAUACAAUGAUUUUCAUCUGCAAUUUGUAUGGCCUUUCCCAAGC
This is a long non-coding RNA of Daphnia carinata, 975 nucleotides long. RefSeq lists it as uncharacterized. The record is from RefSeq and is a predicted model, not a curated record. NCBI's taxonomy places the organism in Eukaryota, Metazoa, Arthropoda, Branchiopoda, Diplostraca, Daphniidae. The transcript is spliced from 5 exons.